This 461-nucleotide ribosomal RNA is filed under the name uncultured bacterium. RNAcentral's name for it is "bacterial SSU rRNA". It matches the Rfam family "Bacterial small subunit ribosomal RNA", at positions 29 to 506 of the family's 1533-position model. The record is from RNAcentral.
AUGAAUGUUGGCGGCGUGUUUAAGGCAUGCAAGUCGAGCGACGUGUCCCCGCAAGGGGAUUACGAGCGGCAAACGGGUGAGUAACACAUUGGUAACCUGCCUUCAAGACGGGGACAGCUCUCCGAAAGGAGAAUUAAUACCCGAUGGUCAUGCGGGGUCAUAAGACAUUCGCAUGUAAAUGAAUUUCGCUUGAAGAGGGGCCUAUGGCUUAUCAGCUAGUUGGUAGGGUAACGGCCUACCAAGGCUAUGACGAGUACCGGGCGUGAGAGCGCGAUCCGGCUCACUGGGACUGAGACACUGCCCAGACUCCUACGGGAGGCUGCAGUCGAGAAUAUUCCGCAAUGGGGGAAACCCUGACGGAGCGACGCCGCGUGCAGGAAGAAACCCUUCGGGGUGUAAACUGCUUUUAUCGGGGACGAAUUAGUGACGGUACCCGAGGAAUAAGAGGUUGCUAACUCUGU